RNAcentral lists this ribosomal RNA (319 nucleotides) under uncultured bacterium. Its description in RNAcentral is "bacterial SSU rRNA". It matches the Rfam family "Bacterial small subunit ribosomal RNA", at positions 28 to 334 of the family's 1533-position model. The record is from RNAcentral.
GAUGAACGCUGGCGGCGUGCUUAACACAUGCAAGUCGAGCGAAGCGCUUUGAAUUUUUCGGAAUGAGAAGUGACUGAGCGGGCGACGGGUGAAGGUAACGCGUGGGUAACCUGCCUCAUACAGGGGGAUAACAGUUAGAAAUGACUGCUAAUACCGCAUAAGCGCACGUCAUCGCAUGAUGGUGUGUAGAAAAACUCCGGUGGUAUGAGAUGGACCCGCGUCCGAUUAGCUGGUUGGUGAGGUAACGGCCCACCAAGGCAACGAUCGGUAGCCGGACUGAGAGGUUGAACGGCCACAUUGGGACUGAGACACGGCCCAG